GCCCAGCUUGAAAAUCGGAC
Molecule: small nuclear RNA, 20 nt
Filed under: Arabidopsis thaliana (thale cress)
Lineage: Eukaryota; Viridiplantae; Streptophyta; Magnoliopsida; Brassicales; Brassicaceae
Description: snRNA_03815
Source: RNAcentral